Molecule: ribosomal RNA, 301 nt
Filed under: uncultured bacterium
Lineage: Bacteria
Description: partial 16S ribosomal RNA
Rfam family: Bacterial small subunit ribosomal RNA
Source: RNAcentral
CAUAGCCGCGGGAAUACGAAGGGGGCUAGCGUUGCUCGGAAUUACUGGGCGUAAAGGGAGCGUAGGCGGACAUUUAAGUCAGGGGUGAAAUCCCAGAGCUCAACUCUGGAACUGCCUUUGAUACUGGGUGUCUUGAGUGUGAUAGAGGUAUGUGGAACUCCGAGUGUAGAGGUGAAAUUCGUAGAUAUUCGGAAGAACACCAGUGGCGAAGGCGACAUACUGGAUCAUUACUGACGCUGAGGCUCGAAAGCGUGGGGAGCAAACAGGAUUAGAUACCCCAGUAGUCCCUGUCUCUUAUACA